RNAcentral lists this ribosomal RNA (429 nucleotides) under bacterium. RNAcentral's name for it is "partial 16S ribosomal RNA". It matches the Rfam family "Bacterial small subunit ribosomal RNA", at positions 355 to 776 of the family's 1533-position model. The record is from RNAcentral.
UAGGGAAUCUUCGGCAAUGGGGGCAACCCUGACCGAGCAACGCCGCGUGAGUGAAGAAGGAUUUCGGAUCGUAACGCUCUGUUGUAAGUCAAGAACUGGUGUGAGAGUGGAAAGUUCACACUGUGACGGUAGCUUACCAGAAAGGGACGGCUAAUUACGUGCCCGCAGCCGCGGUAAUACUUAGGUCCCGAGCGUUGUCCGGAUUUAUUGGGCGUAAAGCGAGCGCAGGCGGUUUGAUAAGUCUGAAGUUAAAGGCUGUGGCUCAACCAUAGUUCGCUUUGGAAACUGUCAGACUUGAGUGCAGAAGGAGAGAGUGGAAUUCCAUGUGUAGCGGUGAAAUGCGUGGAUAUAUGGAGGAACACCGGUGGCGAAAGCGGCUCUCUGGUCUGUAACUGACGCUGAGGCUCGAAAGCGUGGGGAGCGAACAGG